CUCUAGUAUCAGAACCUUCUGACUUUCUCCUCAAAGGCUCUACUGCUGAGGUGUCCCUCCCCAAGAGCACUCAGCAUCGCUCACCCAGCCGUCCACUCUCCUCCAAUCCUCCUGCAGAACAAGUAGAGCAUGGAAGGCUCUUGGAUUCUGCUCCCAACUCCCAGAGACAGUGUCAGUGUGAGGCCUCUGCUUUUGGAGACUCGGGUAUGUUGACUGCAGGACUUCCAAAGGCUGGGAGUCUGGGCCUGCACCACUCCCUCGACUGCCAAUUCCCGCAAGAAACGACAUCUCCCAGCUGAGGAGGGAGAGCGGAGUCCAUGAGAAGCUUACCGGCAGUCUGCUCACAUGAGGAGUGGCGAGAACUGAGACCCACACAAUUCCCCGCAAAGUUUUAUUUUUGGUAUUUUUGACUGAAAUGACAGCGGAUAGGUUCACCUGAGAAACCAGCUGCAUCUGCCCGCCUUUUACAGAAACUGGGGUCACCAGAGCAGAAAGGGCUCCCAUCUCACAUACCGUGUCUCGGGGUUCCAAGGAGACCCCUAGCAGAGCGCUCUUUAAACAGGGCAGAGCAAACCACGUCCCUGCCAUCAUGGAGCUUACCGUCUAGGCCGGUAGAGUAUGUAGACUUAAUCAGAUCAUAGCAGAAGCAAACCUAGAAUCACAAACUGGGACAGAGCUGCAUCGGCCUCACAGUUGAAGUGUUCUGGGCUUGUUUGGCUCAUUUUCACCUCAAGUUGGUUCAGUCAGGCUUGAACGAGCAGCAAGUUGGGGGCCCCUGUCUCCAGGGGCUGUAUGAAGAGGAGAGUGUCUGAGCAUAACUGUUCUGUCUCCAGUGCAAUGAGACAGUUCUGGGGUUGGGCUCAGCCCACACCAUGCAUGGAAGCCUGACCCCAGAUAGAACAAAGUAGCCCCAGACAUUCAGGACCCUUCCUCAGCCUAGCGACCCUGGACGAACCCCAAAAAUGUUUUACUUAUCCUGUCCUGGCAGAUCAGUCCCCUAGGGGAAGACCCAGACCUAGAAACUCAGAUUCCAAGAUGGAAAUCAGCUGGCUUCAGGAGUUCCAGAGAGUCUCAGAUCUAAUUUUCUGACUCCUAUCUGCAGGGAGCCUUUUGAGUCAGCCUACAACAACCCUCAGUGAAGUCAGAGACCACCUCCUUCUAACGACGGACUCAUAUCAAUUAGGAAGGGAAGAAGCAUCUAAUGCAACCCUAAAAUCCUUGGCACUGAAAAGUGGUGUGGUGUUAUUUGGAACUCAAGCAGAUCUAGUUUGGAAUGUCUACUACAUAGCUUACUUAUCACUGUGUGACCCUUGACAAAUAAUGUAAACUGUGGGUGCCUCAUUUCUCCAUUUGCGGCAUGAAAAUAAUGAUCUCCAUCUCAUGGGAAUAUCAUGAGGACUGUAUGAAAUUAACCAAACACCUAGUAUGUAAUAGGUUUUCAAGAAAUGGCUAUUUCUCCUUUGUUCUCAGCCAAAAAUCUGUGGCCCAUUACUCAUCAGAAGAGGAGCUUUGGUACGGUGACCCUGACGUGCCCCCAUCCAGCUGCAUCCUAAUACUGAAUGUCUCUAUCCUCGAUAUACCCAGGGACUUCUCAACCUGCCUUCAUUGUAUUCCUGGAAGUCAUCCCUCAGAUUCUUGGGCCUGAUGUCCCCAGCAGCAGGAUGGCCCGGUUCAGGAGACAGGGAGGGCAAUGAUGCUGCAGAGAAAUUGAUCAAAGACCUCACAUGCAAACAGAGCAUGUUUAAAUAGAGAAGAGCCAAGAAAAUCCUGGCACUGACCUCUUGUAAAGAUAUCAGGAGCUGAGUAGAAGAUCUUUUUUAAUUCCAAAGCCACCAGAGGAUUAAAUUUGUGGCGUAUUUUAGUUUUUAAGGACUACUCCAGGAAGGAGCACCUUGAAGAUUUUUGAGUGGCAGACAGAGUAACCUACAUGUAUCUCCGAAAGGACGGGGAUGCAGCCAUGACUGAGGCCAUUGUCACAGAUACAUCCUUAAAGGGCUAGAAGCCUAGGAGCACAUUUCACAUGUGGGAUGGCAACAUGGAAGCAUAUGAGGGAGGGCUCUUUAGUGAACAGAAAGGGGAGCUUUAUCACCGAUUAGAACAAGACAAACUUCUGGCUGACAUACUGACCACUGCCUCAGCUCUAUCUAGAGCAACAGGGAUCAAAACAGGAGAAGGAACUAGACUGACAGCCAGGGGUGACCCAACCCAGGCUUCUCACCCAAAUUCUAUAGCAAGGCAGGACCAGAGUGAGGAGAUGGAGCAGAAGAGACAGGUACAUCUUCCCUCUUUAAGACUGAGACCCAAAGCCUGAAUCUAGAAUUGCCAGUAUAAUCUAGAACAGGAAAAACCUACAGUUAGGAGCUGGAGGAGGGAACAUUCACUUGUUUGUUCCUUGACUUAAGCAAUAUCUAUUUUGGGAUUUCUAAGACCAAAGGGAUUCCUACAAAAAAAAACAAAAUUUUCCUGAGACCUUCAGGUGGGGACCAUUUCCUUGCAGGAAGGACUCUUUAGACCCAGCAUCAGCUAUACAUUUGGGUAUAGCUGGUAUACCCAAAGCUGGGUAUACAGUUGGGACAGACCCAACUGUCCAAGAUAUAAGGCUUAUGGUGGCCCUGGGUACAGCCUACAUGAGUGAAGGUAGCCCUAGUAAUUGACACAUGAUGUGAAUGUAACUGCCAGUCAAAAUGAGCUUUUGUUUUAAGUCUCUGGUUUACUAACUGGUAAAUUUAUGAUGUGGGGGAAAUCCCUUGUGAAGGAUGCUGAAGAAGUUAGAACAACAAGCUUGGGAAAGGCAUCACUUGGUCAAACUUUGAGGAAUGUACCCCCUUCCUUAUUCACAAGGUAGCUACGGACACUGAAAACAUGACUUUUCAUAGCUUCAGAGCUUCAUGGAGACCAAUACAACAAGUUCUACAGUGACUCACUUUUCUCUAGGAGUGAGGUCCUUAACCUGGAAGUAUUUAAACCAAGGACCUGACACCAGCUAUCAGGGUUCUUGCUAAGAGGAGAGGACUGGUCCAGGUCAGAAUUGUCAGGCUGUGAUCUAAAACUCUGGAAUAGAGUAAAGGUGUCUAUAAAGUGAAUUUUUGCCAAGAAAGGGAAGAAAGUGGGGGAGUCUGGGGGUGAAGGAGCAAUCAGAGCUCCAAGAUCCUCCUCAAACUGCUCCAUGUUUAUUGUUGUAUCAGAGUUCUGCAGUGAUUUUGGUUGGAAUAAAGGGGUUGGUGACAAAAAUGUUUUAGACACCAGCAUACAGAGCCUUGGGUUUCCUUCCCAAUGCUAGUAUUUUAUGUUCUAAGCUGCCUCUUCUGUCCCCAGAAUCUAAGCAAGAAGUCUAUAAUCAUCAUUUAUUCUGGAGGAGGCACAUCCAAAACCAUCUACAUGCUCCACGACACCUUCCCUGAUUCUAUUCUCCUCUCCCUCCUGCUGAAGAUGACUUGUUUCAUUGGUUGAUUCCUCUAGCUAGAAACAAUCCCAUUAUUGGAUGGAUGUAGGCUUGCAUGGGAUGAUCAAUGGAUGGUUGAUUUUCCUUCUAUCCCCUUCUUUCUAGAGUUGGUACUGGUUUCUUCCAGCAUUAAAACUUGCUUCUAUCUUCAACUCUCUUGCCUCCCUUUCCCUUCACUUCACUAUCUUCCCAGCAUUCCUCAGUCCUGGAAGUCUUAUCAAUCCUUGUACUCCUCUUCCAAUUAAAUGUAUGAUUCUUGAUAGAGAAUCAAAAAGGAAUUCAGCUUUUCUUAAGCAUGGUCAGAUCCUUUCUGGUCCCAACACCUGGUCUGAAUAUGAUUCUGGUCUGUAAUUCUUUGGCUACCUGCUCUUCCCAGAAAGUGAUACUAAUGAAACCAUUACUAAGAAAAGGAGGCAGCACAUUGCUGUUUCAGUUUUCGGUAUCAUUUGUGCUAUUUCUUGCAGACUUCAAGCUAGAUUAUGACACCUCAAUUCCAAUCUUGUGAAUUUAAAAAACAAACACAAGUUUGCCAGUCAGUACAAGCCUGCCACCAUUCCCCCUUAUGAAGCUGGUAGGAAAUUGCAGCCCAAGUUCCAAGUUUGGUCACAGAAUGGCCAGCUUCACCAUCAGCCUUGACCACUAACCCCAUCAUGAGUUACAAGAUGGGAAAUAUGCAUCCUGCUAAUUCACACAAAAAAGGCAGAACUCAGAUAUCAUACAGACUGUAAUCUAGGCUUAGCUGCAUAAACUUUGUCCUUAGAGGUAACGUGAGAGAGAACAGGAAAAUAAUGACAGUAACUAACAGCUACUGAGUGUUAACUUAAUGCCAGGCAUGGUAGUAAACACUUACCACAAGCCUAUGAAGAACUGCAUUCCCACCGUGCGUAUAAGGAAAUGGGAGCAGAGCAAGGUAGGGAGACUCACCAGCAUCAUACAACCAGUGAGGCAUAAGGCCAGGAUUCAAACUCAUAUCUGCCUGCCCCAGGGGCUAAGCUUUAAAACCAUUAAGAGGAAAGAAAGAACAGAGCUGUCACUCUGUAAAUCAAAAUAAUCCCCUAAACCUGGCUUUCCAUGCCUUAUUUAUACACACACACACGCACACAUGUGAAGGGACAGCCUGAGUUUUCCAAAGUCCAGGCGGUUCAGAAUGAAAGAAGUACAGAGAAGACAAAAGCCUGGGCUCCUAGUACAAGCUUCCACACAGAGCUGCCCAGAAAACACAUGGGCUGUGCUAUUCUGGGGAGAUUCUAGGUCCUUCCCUCCCCCUUUGAAUCUGCCAUUGCAGCUAAAAUAUCUGCCAAGAGCCCAGCGAAGGAGGUAUAGCAGGAGAGCAAAGACUUCAUUUCCUUCAAGCUGAAACACAUGCGCCAAAAAUGAGUUUUCAAAGUAUGAACAGACGUUUGCCAGCGGGGGUGCCCCACGUGUGACAUGGCCCUUCACCUAACGUGAAAGGCCCACGCUUCCCCCAAAGCAGGCUCCCAAGCCCCAUGAAUGAGGCAAGAGCCUCGGGAAGAGGGACAGGACAGGUGAGCCAGACAGCACUCAGGGUAAGUUACUGACUCAUCUUUAAGAUUCGCUUUCUCCUCUAUGAAAUAGAGUUUAAAACAGAACCCACCUCAUGAACUUUUUACAAGGAUUAAAUGAGAUAAUACAUUCGAGUGUGGCAAAGACUGGCGGUUGCCACACCCAACACCCGCCCUUUCAUUCCUUGCUAUCGACCCCUAUGUUUUGGAGGAUUGACAACGUGCCCAACUAAACAAUGACCCUAUUUCUCCCUCAAAGAUAGGAGUGGCCAUUAGAUGUCAGCAGAAGUUGUGUGUUGGUGGGGAAAGGACAUGAUAGAGAAGCAUGAUCUUUUUGCCUUUCCCUAUUCUUCUUCUUCAUGGUCUGAAACACAGAUGUGAUGGCUGGAGCUGCAGUGCAACUAGCAAGCAAAUUUGAGGACGAAGGCCACAUGCCAAGGCCAGCAGACCAAAAAGACAGAAGUAGCCUGAGACACUGUUGGCACUUACAGCUUCCAUAUAGCCCUGCAGGCUACUGUGCACCACUUCCAUACCAGACAUGCAGCUUUGAAUCAGAAGAGAACUUUCAAAACCCCUGACUCAAGAACUUUGGAGCUGUAGCGGGGACAAGGAGAAGUUAAAGAAGGAAAAACGCAGUGUAUAACCAAGAGCGGGAAACAGGGCAGCUCAUGUACACAAGGAAGCAACCCAUAUCUCAAGCACUGAAGCAGAACCACAGCAGACAACAUCAUCUCAACGGCGCCUCAGCUUACUCAGGGUAGCUCUGUGGAACCGGUGGGUAUCAUUUUGACCCUAUUUUACAUAUAAGAAACCUGAGGGUUAAAAAGAAGAAAGUGACUUGCUCUGAGCAGGUAGGAACCAGGGCCGAAGUCCCUGCAGGGGCUCACAUAAAACCCACAGACUGAGCUCUAAGGGUCAGGGGCAGGGCACGCGGAGGCUCAGCAGCUCCCAGGAAGGACAUCAUUGCCCACCUGCCACCAUUAAUGCAUUUCCACAGGGCCGUCUGCCUUUGCCCCCGAAGGGGAGCAUCUUGCUCCAUCCUUCUUCUGGGAACAAUAGCCACUAUCCAUUCUAGAAUAUCCC
This is a non-coding RNA of Odocoileus virginianus texanus, 6048 nucleotides long. Lineage: Eukaryota; Metazoa; Chordata; Mammalia; Artiodactyla; Cervidae. The record is from RefSeq and is a predicted model, not a curated record.